ACCGGGCUGUACGUGUGUUGAACACGGAGGUGUCGUCCGUUCGGCACUAGGAUCAUCGGUGAUUUGGAUCACGACGAGUACGACUCCAUCAACCCCAUUCACUUGAACGCUUCCGCUUAGCGAUCUACAAGGGUAUGUAGAUGCACUCUCCUUCCCCUCGUUGCUAGAUUACUCCAUAGAUUGAUCUUGGUGAUGCGUAGAAAAUUUUGAAUUUAUGCUACGUUCCCCAACAGUGACAUCAUGAGCUAGGUCUAUGCGUAGUUUCUAUGCACGAGUAGAACACAAAGCAGUUGUGGGCGUUGAUUUUGUCAAUUUACUUGCCGUUACUAGUCUUAUCUUGAUUCGGCGGCAUCUUGGGAUGAAGCGGCCCGGACCGACCUUACACAUACUCUUACGUGAGACUGGUUCCACCGACUGACAUGCACUAGUUGCAUAAGGUGGCUAGCGGGUGUCUGUCUCUCCCACUUUAGUCGGAUCAGAUUCGAUGAAAAGGGUCCUUAUGAAGGGUAAAUAGAAAUUGGCAUAUCACGUUGUGGUUUUGGCGUAGGUAAGAAACGUUCUUGCUAGAAACCUAUAGCAGCCACGUAAAAACUUGCAACAUCAAUUAGAGGACGUCUAACUUGUUUUUGCAGCAUAUGCCUUGUGAUGUGAUAUGGCCAAAAGGAUGUGAUGAAUGAUAUAUGUGAUGUAUGAGAUUGAUCAUGUUCUUGUAAUAGGAAUCACGACUUGCAUGUCGAUGAGUAUGACAAUCGGCAGGAGCCAUAAGAGUUGUCUUUAUUUAUUUAUGACCUACGUGUCAACAUAAACGUCAUGUAAUUACUUUACUUUAUUGCUAAAGCGUUAGCCAUAGUAGUAGAAGUAAUAGAUGACGAGACAACUUCAAGAAGACACGAUGAUGGAGAUCAUGGUGUCAUGCCGGUGACAACGAUGAUCAUGGAGCCCCGAAGAUGGAGAUCGAGAGGAGCAAAAUGAUAUUGGCCAUAUCAUGUCACUAUUUGAUUGCAUGUGAUGUUUAUCAUGUUUUACAUCUUAUUUGCUUAGAACGACGGUAGCUUAAAUAAGAUGAUCCCUCACUAAAAUUUCAAGAAAGGUGUUCCCCCUAACUGUGCACCGUUGCGAAGGUUCGUUGUUUCGAAGCACCACAUGAUGAUCGGGUGUGAUAGAUUCUAACGUUCGAAUACAACGGGUGUAAGCCAGAUUUACACAGCAAAAACACUUAGGUUGACUUGACGAGCCUAGCAUGUACGGACAUGGCCUCGGAACACAGAAGACCGAAAGGUCGAGCAUGAGUCGUAUAGAAGAUACGAUCAACAUGAAGAUGUUCACCGAUGUUGACUAGUCCGUCUCACGUGAUGAUCGGACACGGCCUAGUUGACUCGGAUCAUGUUUCACUUAGAUGACUAGAGGGAUGUCUAUCUGAGUGGGAGUUCAUUAGAUGAACUCAAUUAUCAUGAACAUAGUCUAAAUUGUCUUUGCAAAUAUGUUGUAGAUAAAUAGCUCACGUUGUAGCUCCCUGUUUCAAUAUGUUCCUAGAGAAAGACCAAGUUGAAAGAUAUUGUAAGCACUGAUGCGGACUAGUUCCGUAGUCCGAGGAGUGUCCUCACUGCUACAUAGAAGGCUUACGUCUUUGAUGCACCGCUCGAUGUGCAAACCCCUACAACGUCGUCUGUGGAUGUUGUGAACACCUGACAGACACAUCCUGAUGACUACUUGAUAGUUUAGUGCACCAUACUUUACGGCUUAGAAUCGGGAUUCUAAUGACGUUUCGAAUGCCAUAGAACAUAUGAGAUGUUCCAAGAGCUGAAAUUGGGAUUUCAGGCUCAUGCCCGUGUUAAGAGGUGUGAGACCUCUGACGAGUUCUUUUGCCAACAAGAUGGAGGAGAAUAGCUCAGCUAGUGAGCAUGUGCUCAGAAUGUCUGGGUGCUACAAUCACUUAAAUCAAGUGGGAGUUAAACUUCCAGAUAAGAUAGUGAUUGAUAGAGUUCUCUAGCCACUAUCACUAAGCUACUAGAUCUUCGUGAUGAACUAUGACAUGCAAGGGAUGGAGUUGAUCCCGGAGCUGUUCGCGGUGCUUAAGACCGCAAAAGGUAGAAAUCAAGAAGGAGCAUCAAGUGUUGAUGGUUUAAUAAGACCACUAGUUUCAAGAAGGGCAAGGGCUAGAAGGGAAACUUCAUGGAUGGCAAACCAGUUGCCGCUCCAGUAAAGGAACCCAAGGUUGAACCCAAACCCGAGACUAAGUGCUUCUAUUGUAAGGGGACGGUCACUGGUAGCGGAAUUACCCCAAAUGCAUGGUAGAUAAGAAGGCUGGCAACUUCAACAAAGUAUAUACAUGUUAUUAAUGUGUACCUCGCUAGUACUCCUGGUAGCACCUGGGUAUUGGAUACCAGUUCAGUUGCUAUUACUGGUGACUUGAAGCAAAAGCUACGUACUAAACGGAGAAUGGCCAAGGGCGAGGUGACGACGUGUGUUGGAAGUGUUUCCGAAGUUGAUGAGAUCACCAUCGCACGCUCCAUCUGCCUUCGGGAUUAGUAUUGAACCUAGAUAAAUGUUAUCAGGUGUCUACGUUGAGCAUGAAUAUGAUUAGAUCAUGUUCAUUGCAAUACAGUUAUUCAUUUAAGUUAGAGAAUAAUGGUUAUUCUGUUUACAUGAAUAAUACCUUUCAUGGUCAUGCACCCUAUGUGAAUGGUUCAUUGAAUCUCGAUCGUGGUAAUACACAUGUUCAUGCCAAAAGAUGUAGAGUUAAUAAUGAUAGUACCACUUUCUUGUGGCACUGCCGCUUAGGUCAUAUUGGCAUAAAGAAGCAUGAAGAAACUCCAUGUCGAUGGAUGUUUGGAGUCACUUGAUUUUGAAUCGCUUGACACAUGCGAGCCAUGCGUCAUGGGCAGGAUGACUAAGACCACGUUUUCAGGUACAAUGAAGCGGGCAAGUGACUUGUUGGAAAUCAUACAUGCUGAUGUGUGUGAUCCAAUGAGAAUUGAAGCGUGCGGUGGAUAUCGCUAUUUUCUCAUCUUCGCUGACGAUUUGAGUAGAUAUAGGUAUAUUUACUUAAUGAAGCACAAGUCUGAAAUGUUUGAAAAGUUCAAGCGAUUUCAGAGUGAAGUUAAGAAUCAUCAUAACAAAAAGGAUCAUGUUCCUACGAUCUGAUCAAAAGGGGAUUUUCUGAGUUAUGAGUUUGGCAAUCACUUAAGACAUUGUGGAAUUGUUUCACAGUUGAAGCCACCUAGAACACCACAAGGUAAUGGUGUGUCCAUACGUCGUAAUCGAACCCUAUGAGAUAUGGUGCGAUCUAUGAUGUCUCAUACCAAUCUACCGUUUUCAUUUUGAGGUUAUGCGUUAGAGACAACUGCAUUCACUUUAGAUAGGACACCAUCUAAGCCCGUUGAGACGACGUCGUAUGAACAUUGGUUUGGCAAGAAACCAAAGUUGUCGUUUCUUAAUGUUUGGGGCUACGAUGCUUAAGGCUUCAGCCGGAGAAGCUCGAACCCAAAGCGGACAAACACAUCUUCAUAGGAUACCCAAAGGUGACAGUUGGGUAUACCUUCUAUCUCAGAUCCGAGGGCAAAUUGUUUGUCACUAAGAACGGGUCCUUUCUCGAGAAGGAGUUUCUCUCGAAAGAAUUGAGUGGGAGGAAGAUAGAACUUGAUGAGGUUGUCGAACCUUUAUUUCAACCAGAGAAUGAUGCAACACAGAAAGAUGUUUUCUGUGGCACCUACGUCUGUUGAAUAGGAAGUUAAUGAUAGUGAUCAUGAAGCUUCGAAUCAAGUUGCUAUCGAACCUCGUAGGUCGACAAGGAUAUGUACUACUCCUAAGUGGUACGGUAAUCCUGUCUUAGACAUCAUGUUGUUAGACAACAAUGAACCUACGAUCUAUGGAGAAGCGAUGGUGGGCCCGUAUUCUGACAAAUGGUUAGAAGCCAUGAAAUCCGAGAUAGGAUUCAUAUAUCAGAACAAAGUAUGGACUUUGGUGGACUUGCCCGAUGAUUGGCAAGCCAUUGAGAUAAAUGGAUCUUUAAGAAGAAGACGGACGUGGGCGGUAAUGUUACCGUCUAUGAAGCUCGACUUGUGGGAAAGAGUCUUUUCACAAGUUCAAGGAGUUGACUACGAUGAGAAUUUCUCACCCGUAGCGAUGCUUGAGUCCGUCGAAAUUAUGAUAGCAUUAGCUGUAUUUUUCGAUUAUGAAAUCUUACAAAUGGAUGUCAAAACAAGAUUUCUUACCAGUUUUUGUAAGAAAAGUUGUAUGUGAUACAAUAAAAGGUUUUGACGAUCCUAAGAAUGCUAAAAGGUAUGCUAGCUCCAGCAAUCCUUCUAUGGACUAGAGCAGGCAUCUCGGAAUCAGAACAUAUGUUUUGAUGGAGUGAUCAAAGCUUUUAGGUUUAUACAAUGUUUGCUAGAAACUUGUAUUUACAAGAAAGUGAGUGGGAGCACUACAACAUUUCUGAUAAGUAUAUGUGGAUGACAUAUUGUUGAUCCAAAAUAAUGUAGAAUUUCUAGAAAGCAUAAACGGUUGUUUGAAGAGUGAUUUUCAAAGGAAGACCUGGAUAAAGCUGCUUACAUAUUGGGCAUCAAGAUCUAUAGAGAUGGAUCAAGACGCCUGAUGGUACUUUCAAAGAACGCACACCUUGACAUGUUUUUGAAGGAGUUCAAAACAGAUCAGUCAAAGAAGGGGUUCUUACCUGAGUUGUAAGGUGUGAAGUUGAGUAAGACUCAAAGCUUGACCACGACAGAAGAAAGAGGAAGGACGAAGGUCGUCCCCUAUGCUCUUAUCAUAGGCUCUAUAUGGUAUGCCAUGCUGAGUACCGCACCUGAUGUGUGCCUUGCCACAUGUCUGGCAAGAGGGUACAAAGGUGAUCUAGGAGUAGAUCACCGGAUAGCGGUCAAAAAUUAUCCUUAGAAGAAUAAGGAAAUGUUUCUCGGUUAUGGAGGUGAUAAAGAGUUCGACGUAAAGAGUUACGUCGAUGCAAGCUUAACACCUAUCCGGAUAGCUCUGAGUAGAGAUAUCGGAUACGUAUAAUGGAGCAACAAUUUGGAAUAGCUCCAAGUGGAACGUGGUAGCAGCAUCUACGAUAUGACAUAAAGUUUUGCGAAAUACAUAGGGAUCUAAAUGUGGCAAGACCCGUUGACUACAACCUCUCUCACAAGCAUAACAUGAUCAAACCCAGAACUCUUUGACUGUUUAUCACAUAGUGAUGUGAACUAGAUCAUUGAGUCUAGUAGACUCUUGGAUGUUGGUCACAUGGCGAUGUGACCUGUAAGUGUUAAUCACAUGGCGAUGUGAACUAGAUUAUUGACUCUAGUGCAAGUGGGAGACUGUUGGAAAUAUGCCCUAGAGGCAAUAAUAAAUUGGUUAUUAUUAUAUUUCCUUGUUCAUGAUAAUCGUUUAUUAUCCAUGCUAGAAUUGUAUUGAUAGGAAACUCAGAUACAUGUGUGGAUACAUAGACAACACCAUGUCCCUAGUAAGCCUCUAGUUGACUAGCUCGUUGAUCAAUAGAUGGUUACGGUUUCCUAACCAUGGACAUUGGAUGUUGUUGAUAACGGGAUCACAUCAUUAGGAGAAUGAUGUGAUGGACAAGACCCAAUCCUAAGCCUAGCACAAAGAUCGUGUAGUUCGUAUGCUAAAGCUUUUCUAAUGUCAAGUAUCAUUUCCUUAGACCAUGAGAUUGUGCAACUCCCGGAUAUCGUAGGAGUGCUUUGGGUGUGCCAAACGUCACAACGUAACUGGGUGGCUAUAAAGGUACACUACAGGUAUCUCUGAAAGUGUCUGUUGGGUUGGCACGAAUCGAGACUCGGAUUUGUCACUCCGUGUAAAUGGAGAGGUAUCUCUGGGCCCACUCGGUAUGACAUCAUCAUAAUGUGCACAAUGUGACCAAGGAGUUGAUCACGGGAUGAUGUGUUACAGAACGAGUAAAGAGACUUGCCAGUAACGAGAUUGAACAAGGUAUCGGGAUACCGACGAUCGAAUCUCGGGCAAGUACAAUACCGCUGGACAAAGGGAAUUGAAUACGGGAUUGAUUAAGUCCUUGACAUCGUGGUUCAUCCGAUGAGAUCAUCGUGGAACAUGUGGGAGCCAACAUGGGUAUCCAGAUCCUGCUGUUGGUUAUUGACCGGAGAGUUGUCUCGGUCAUGUCUGCAUGGUUCCCGAACCCGUAGGGUCUACACACUUAAGGUUCCAUGACGCUAGGGUUAUAGGGAAUAGAUAUACGUGGUUACCGAAUGUUGUUCGGAGUCCCGGAUGAGAUCCCGGACAUCACGAGGAGUUCCGGAAUGGUACGGAGGUAAAGAUUUAUAUAUGGGAAGUCCUGUUUUGGUCACCGAAAAAAUUUCGGGUGCUAUCGGUAACGUACCGGGAGGGUCCCGGGGGUCCACCAGGUGGCGCCACCUGCCCCAGAGGGCUGCGUGGGCCAAGUGUGAAGAGGGACCAGCCCCAGGUGGGCUGGUGUGCCCCCCACCAGGGCCCAAGGCGAAGAGAGAAGGGAAAAGGGGGAAACCCUAGGCUCAGAUGGGCCUAAGGCCCACCUAGUGGUGCGCCCCCCCUCUCUCCCCCCUUGGCCACCCCCUAGAUGGGAUCUAGGGCUGGCCGCCACCCCUAGGGGUGGAAACCUAGGUGGGGGCGCAGCCCCUCCCUUUCCCCUAUAUAUAGUGGGGGUUUUGGGCUGCCAUACACACGAGAACAUCUCCUUCUUGGCGUAGCCCUACCCCUCUGCCUCCUCGUCUCUUGCGGUGCUUGGCGAAGCCCUGCUGGAGUACCACACUCCUCCACCACCACCACGCCGUCGUGUUGCUGCUGGAUGGAGUCUUCCCCAAACUCUUGGCGGUAGUGUCUAAAACUCAUUGGAAUUCAUGCAAUCGGCGACAACAGUUGCCAUGGAGACCAAGGAGAGGAGGAGGAAUAGAGAGGAAACAAGAUCGCAAGUGGGGAGAAGGUGGUUUUUCCAUGAUUCUCAAGAAUGUGUGGAGGAGCGGGCAAGGGCUAUCUGACUUCGAGUCCCACCCUGCAAGGAAGAAGGUGGUGAGUGCGGGCUGAUUUGGUUACAUCUUGCGCUCAAGCGUGGGGAAUGAUACUUGCACGAACAAAUUUUGUUCGCUCUGCUCAUACCUCCAACGCGAACAAAGUUCGCUUGGAUGACACCUAAAAAGGGACGUCAUCGCUUUAUUGGUGCCCUUGUAAAAAACAGUCGUGGUUGUCUCAACAUCAUACGCAUUCAUGUCUGAUGAUACUGAUCACAUCUCUCUGACGAUUCAAUUGUUCAACAAGGCGGACAAAGAUGCCCGAGAAUGUCCCAUCAAUGGUGGCAGUCUGCUUAACCCUUGUUAAUUAAUCCAUGGUUUACUAGGUGCAAUGACUCCUAAGGCAUCGAAGUUAUGACCAACAUUCCUAUUAUUUCACGUUUGCACUAUUAUAUA
RNAcentral lists this long non-coding RNA (7400 nucleotides) under Triticum aestivum (bread wheat). RNAcentral describes it as "long non-coding RNA (TAES_LNC014997)". The record is from RNAcentral. Lineage: Eukaryota; Viridiplantae; Streptophyta; Magnoliopsida; Poales; Poaceae.